Molecule: ribosomal RNA, 374 nt
Filed under: uncultured organism
Description: partial 16S ribosomal RNA
Rfam family: Bacterial small subunit ribosomal RNA
Source: RNAcentral
GUAGGUGGCAAGCGUUGUCCGGAAUUAUUGGGCGUAAAGCGCGCGCAGGCGGUCCUUUAAGUCUGAUGUGAAAGCCCUACGGCUCAACCGUGGAGGGUCAUUGGAAACUGGGGGACUUGAGUACAGAAGAGGAAAGCGGAAUUCCAAGUGUAGCGGUGAAAUGCGUAGAGAUUUGGAGGAACACCAGUGGCGAAGGCGGCUUUCUGGUCUGUAACUGACGCUGGGGCGCGAAAGCGUGGGGAGCAAACAGGAUUAGAUACCCUGGUAGUCCACGCCGUAAACGAUGAGUGCUAAGUGUUAGGGGGUUUCCCGCCCCCUUAGUGCUGCAGCUAACGCAUUAAGCACUCCGCCUGGGGAGUACGGCCGCAAGGCUG